Salvelinus fontinalis (brook trout) is the source of this 3018-nucleotide long non-coding RNA. RefSeq lists it as uncharacterized. The record is from RefSeq and is a predicted model, not a curated record. The transcript is spliced from 5 exons. NCBI's taxonomy places the organism in Eukaryota, Metazoa, Chordata, Actinopteri, Salmoniformes, Salmonidae.
AGCAUCAGAGCUUGGAGAAGCCUAAUUACCGUGACUAAUGGAAUUUGCCUGUAGUCAUGACUCGUGACCGCUGGUGUGGCGGUAAUACGGUCACCAUAACAGCCCUAGUUGGAGUUCCUUGGUCCCCAGUGGUGAUGCAUGAGAUGCAGAGACCUGACACUCAACACAUCCACUAAACACAUCCAUAUUGAGAUGGACUAGAGAUGCUUCUUCCAGACGGCAGCCGUAGUCAUUUGAUGGGGAGACCAUAAUUGGAAACAUGUAUGGAGCCAGCACAUGGAGACUUGCAAGAUGAUGUGCUGAAGUCCAGACUGACAAACGGGCUUGAUACUGAUGUCUCUGAAUGGAGAGAGACCUGGCACUCAGCGUCAACAUUUUACUAGACACAACUUUUACUUGUAUUGUCUUUUUGUUAUAGUAUCAGUCAUUAUGGGGAAGGAGAAACCCUGUGUAUUCUGCACCAGGAUCAGGGAACUCCUGUUGUAUACGGGACACCACACAGGAAGAAGGACAUUUUACAACUCAAACUAUGGAUUUUACCCAAGAGGCUACAAGAUGUUCCUAUUCCCAUGAAGAGGGCCAAAGGAUUAUUACCACUACCUCAUUGCUAGAUGAGAUGACAGCCGCAGAGAAUACUGGAAUGGACUUAAACAAGGCUUACAGAGACUUGCAACACCUCAUGGUGAAAGAUACCAAACUUGACCUCAAUUCUAUCACCUUGUCUGACUAUUGGAGGAAAGGCCUAAUCCCCAAAGGACUCCGUAUUAUGAAGUUUCCAGCUAAUGGAGCACAAGGUAAAACUGAAUUUAGAGAUACAUGGGAGGCUAUUCUCAACAAGUGUUUUUUUGACCUAAUGCUACUUCUAAUAGAAGAAUCUAAAAAGGACAGACAAGUAGUCCAAACAGAAAUUGAAGAAGUAAAAAGGAAAAUCACAGAACAGUGACAAUUCUAACAAAGCACAAUGUGAUGAGAUCUUGAAAGAGAAAGUAGACACAUUCACUCUGAUAUUGAAACAAAACAAGCUAAGAAAAUUUAGAAGAGAUUAAGUAGACUAUAGAGAUGGCAAGGUCUUUGCCUGGAGAAAACCAACAUGCAAGAAUUCAGAAUCACAUCUGCAGAGAAGGAAGCCUAGAUCUGUUUCUUUCAACUUUACAAGCAGUGACGAUGAGGAUCACCCCAGACGCUCAGAGGCCAGCUCCUCCCAAGAUUUUUUAGAUCAGGAAGAGGAGUCACACAGGUUCCUCAACAAGAGAGGGAGAGGACGCGGAAGAGGCCAACACGGAGGGGGAGGAAGAAAUCAAGACUAUCCAACCACACGGAGCAGGACCAGAACAAGGCUGUGAUCAACAUUUCUGGAGAACCCCUAUCUGAGGAUUACAUAAGGGUCUUGUCUAAAGGACUGUCCUUUGCUCCCACAUAUUCAACUAAUGCAUUUAAUACAAAGACUGACCUAUUUCGUUUCUACAGGAAUCUACAUCUGAAGGCCUGGUACAAGUAAAACAUCUCUCCAACUACAGACGCCAGUGUCUCCGGUCAGGCCGUUUCUGUUCCCUCAAAAACACCUUUUAAGCCCAAGUCCACCUUUUUGUCCCAUCGUCCAGAAUGCCACACUAAAUACAUUUGCCAAGAAAGUGAAUUUUGAUGUGGAGAAUCUGUUUAAGGGUAAAAUUGACUCCAACCAAACACGACGUAAUCUUUCUAAGACAGAGAGGGAUGCAGUUGAAUCAUUGUCCAAAAAUGGACGGAUUGUGGUUAAAAAAGCAGACAAAGGUGGUGCUACAGUAGUGUGGAGUAAAGACAAAUAUGUGACAGAAGCCUACCGUCAAUUAGACAAUGAUAAAUUCUACCAAUCUCUUACCUUCAACCCUACAGAGGACCUAAAAACUGAAUUAAAAGGGAUCCUCACAGAAGCUAAGGAGAAUGGCUACUGUAACGGUAGUCCUCCUCCUCUUCAACCGAAAAGGAGGAGUAGUGAUUUGACCAAGGCGCAGCGGGUUGUGAAUACAUAAUUUUAAUUAACAAGACGUAAAAAACACGAAACGAAAUACACUUGAAUGAAAAAAAAUAACAAAACGGAAUAGACAGACCUGGACAUGGAACUUACAUAAAACACGAAGAACGCACGAACAGGGAAAAUAGACUACACAAAAUGACGAUGUACAAAAACAAACCGAACAGUCUCGUAUGGUGCGACAAACACUGACACAGGAGACAACCACCCACAACGAACACUGUGAAACAACCUACCUAAAUAUGACUCUCAAUUAGAGGAACGCCAAACACCUGCCUCUAAUUAAGAGCCAUACCAGGCAACCCUAAACCAACAUAGAAACAGAAAACAUAGAAUGCCCACCCAAACUCACGUCCUGACCAACUAACACAUACAACAAACUAACAGAAAUAGGUCAGGAACGUGACAUAACCCCCCCCCCCUUAAGGUGCGAACUCCGGGCGCACCAGCACAAAGUCUAGGGGAGGGUCUGGGUGGGCAUCUGACCACGGUGGUGGCUCAGGCUCAGGGCGAGGUCCCCACCCCACCAUAGUCAAUCCCAGCUUACAUCUCCCCCUACAAAUGACUACCCUCAUAUUACACCCACUUAAUCUUUUGGGUAACAUCGAGACAAGGGGCAGCACCGGGAUAGAGGGAUAGCUCAGGACAGAGGGAUAGCUCAGGACAGAGGGAUAGCUCAGGACAGAGGGAUAGCUCAGGACAGAGGGAUAGCUCAGGACAGAGGGAUAGCUCAGGACAGAGGGAUAGCUCAGGAUAGAGAGGUAGCUCAGGAUAGAGAGGUAGCUCAGGAUAGAGGGGCAACUCCGGACUGAAAGGCAGCUCCGGACAGAGAGACAGCUCCGGACAGAGGGGCAGUUCUGGAUAAAUAGCCGCUCUGGGCUGAGGGACAGCUCAUGACUGGCUGACGGCUCUGGAUGCUCAUGGCUGGCUGACGGCUCUGGACGCUCAUGGCUGGCUGACGGCUCUGGACGCUCAUGGCUGGCUGACGGCUCUGGACGCUCAUGGCU